UCGAACGUGGUGGCAGCAGCUGGGGUAAGACGUAGGUGGCGAGGGUUAGCUGGAGUUACUGUGCGUAAAGUGGUCGCAGGUGGUUGAGGAAGUUGGGUGUGAAAUGUCUUGGCUUAACGGGGAGGGGACGCUCAAGACUGCUCGGCUUGAGGUCGAGAGAGGGGUGCAGAAUUCCCGGUGUAGUGGUGGAAUGCGUAGAUAUCGGGAGGAACACCAGUGGCGAAGGCGGCUCUCUGGGCAGAUACCGACGCUGAGACGCGAAAGCGUGGGGAGCAAACAGGAUUAGAUACCCCGGUAGUC
Molecule: ribosomal RNA, 300 nt
Filed under: uncultured Bacillus sp.
Lineage: Bacteria; Bacillati; Bacillota; Bacilli; Caryophanales; Bacillaceae
Description: bacterial SSU rRNA
Rfam family: Bacterial small subunit ribosomal RNA
Source: RNAcentral